GGCAGCGUGGCACAGUGGUUAAGGUGCUGGCCUCGGGCCUGGGAGAGAGGGACCAGGGUUCAAAUCCCUCCCAGUCUGCCU
This is a non-coding RNA of Podarcis lilfordi (Lilford's wall lizard), 81 nucleotides long. NCBI's taxonomy places the organism in Eukaryota, Metazoa, Chordata, Lepidosauria, Squamata, Lacertidae. The record is from the annotation of a GenBank genome assembly.